CCACUACUGGCCCCUAGUGUCAGAGUGUCCCCACUACUGGCCCUAGUGUCAGAUUGUCCCCACUACUGCCCCCUAGUGUCAGAUUGUCCCCACUACUGGCACUAGUGUCAGAGUGUCCCCACUACUGGCCCUAGUGUCAGAGUGUCCCCACUACUGCCCCCUAGUGUCAGAUUGUCCCCACUACUGGCACUAGUGUCAGAGUGUCCCCACUACUGGCCCUAGUGUCAGAGUGUCCCCACUACUGGCCCAUAGUGUCAGAGUGUCCCCACUACUGGCCCCUAGUGUCAGAGUGUCCCCACUACUGGCCCUAGUGUCAGAUUGUCCCCACUACUGCCCCCUAGUGUCAGAUUGUCCCCACUACUGGCACUAGUUGUCAGAUUGUCCCCACUACUGGCCCCUAGUGUCAGAGUGUCCCCACUACUGGCACUAGUGUCAGAGUGU
Gadus macrocephalus (Pacific cod) is the source of this 441-nucleotide long non-coding RNA. RefSeq lists it as uncharacterized. The record is from RefSeq and is a predicted model, not a curated record. The transcript has 2 exons. Lineage: Eukaryota; Metazoa; Chordata; Actinopteri; Gadiformes; Gadidae.